UACGGAGGGGGCUAGCGUUGUUCGGAAUUACUGGGCGUAAAGAGCGUGUAGGCGGUCCGGUAAGUCCGCUGUGAAAGUCGGGGGCUCAACCCUCGAAUGCCGGUGGAUACUGUCGGGCUAGAGUGCGGAAGAGGCGAGUGGAAUUCCUGGUGUAGCGGUGAAAUGCGCAGAUAUCAGGAGGAACACCUAUUGCGAAGGCAGCUCGCUGGGACGUAACUGACGCUGAGACGCGAAAGCGUGGGGAGCAAACAGG
Molecule: ribosomal RNA, 253 nt
Filed under: uncultured bacterium
Lineage: Bacteria
Description: partial 16S ribosomal RNA
Rfam family: Bacterial small subunit ribosomal RNA
Source: RNAcentral